AGAUAAGACUCUGUCUACCCUGGGCAGCUUUCCUGAUCCAUGGCAGUCUGGCUUACAAGCAAUACUAGGCUUCUAUUGUCUCUUUCUGUAUAUUUGUAAGAACAUGGCCAGGCAAGAUGGCUUAUGUCUUUAAUCUCAGCUGUUUGGGAAGCCAAGUGGAAAGAUUGCUUGAGGCCAGGAGUUCAAGACCAACCUGGAUAAUGCAGCCCAGUCCCAAAAAAGCACCUGAAGCUUGUUUUAGUUUUCAUUCUUCUUAUGGGAGAAAUUGGGCCUGAUGCUGAAGGAGAACUCUUCUGUCCACUGCAAGUCCACUUACAUGAGCAGCUAAAUAAAUGAAUGGGAUUCUGAAGGACUGUAUGUGGAGAGCAAGGUUAACCAUUUGUGCUUGCUGCAUGAGGGAAUAAGCAACGAUGAGUGUUAGGCUGUUUAUUCAGAUACCCUCACGCCACUGCAGAAGCGAGUAGAGGAAGAAUACAAGGAAAAAAGUGUCUCCCAGCCUGUGGAAAGAGGAUGGCUAUUUCAUCCACUAAAGGUGUACACUUUAAGUGAAUUGGUAUGUCUACAUCAUCCCAGGAGGAGUGAAUGUCUGUGUGUGUGUACCUGAGAUAAGAUGAUGUCUUGUCCAAUGCUGGUUUCCACCUUGUGCCCUGAGCUGUUGGGAGAGGCUCCUGCGACCUGUGACCCUGAAGCAGAAUAAGUGGACUGAAUAAAGGAAUGAUGCGUAUA
Molecule: long non-coding RNA, 726 nt
Filed under: Homo sapiens (human)
Lineage: Eukaryota; Metazoa; Chordata; Mammalia; Primates; Hominidae
Description: HSALNT0271822
Source: RNAcentral